Long non-coding RNA from Homo sapiens (human), 4616 nucleotides. RefSeq lists it as uncharacterized. The record is from RefSeq and is a predicted model, not a curated record. The transcript has 2 exons. NCBI's taxonomy places the organism in Eukaryota, Metazoa, Chordata, Mammalia, Primates, Hominidae.
ACUGAGGCAGGAGAACCACUUGAACCCAGGAGACAGAGGUUGUAGAGAGCCGAGAUCUCGCCACUGCACUCCAGCCUGAGUGACAGAGUGAGACUCCAUCUCAAAAAAAAAAAAAAAAAAAGAGAGAAGCAGUCACGCUGUGGAAGGUCUUUCUUUGCCUUUUGCUAUAUGCCCCCCCAAAAAAUUUUAUAUUUUACCAAGAUAAUUCCUGUGUCAUCAUUAUUAGGUUUUUGAUUGCUUAGGAAUACUGGGACUUAGAGGCAUUGAGGAAUUAAGGCUUUUACAUCACGUAAUUUUCUCUAUUGCUAAUAAAGUCCUUGUGCUGUUGAGUUACAGAGCUUUGGCUGGGUCCGAAAAAGGCACUGCCUUCUGCUAAAUCUUGAACACUGACACCAAUCAAAGCCUCAUCUUCAGACUGAGAGAAGAUGGCAAUCAAAAUGAACUGCUUUCAUAAGACAUGAGGCCAGAAGUUAAAGUGUUUGAUCUCUCUUGGCCCAGGGACUAUUGGGGAAGAGGUGGGCAUGUGAGAUUGUAGGGCUGAUUUUGAGGGAUAAGAUUAGUUCAGAUUUUCUCUAGAAAGUAAACAAUAUCAAAAGCACACUUUUCCAAGGCCAGUGUCUGGGCCCCUGUGUCAGAAUCACAGGAUUCUCCUACAGCACUGACCUGCUCUUUCAUAGAGAAUUGUGAAAGGUUAUAAAAGGCUUAUGAAAAUCUUACCUGUGGUCAAAUUUAUUAAACUUGGAUAGAAUUAUUUAUAAAGAUUUAUUGAAAUUAGCUUUAACAUAAAUAAUACAUCAUACCAAGGUAAAAUUUGUUUUUAUCUUUUGAAUAAAAUUUUCAUAUAAUAUUAAUAAGAGAUAAUAAAAGUUUUUUGUUUAUCUUUUGAGUAAACUGCAGGAAAAAAAGAGGAGAGAGAGAGAGACUUUUUUUUUUUUGGCCUCAUGCUGUCUUUAUUAGGCCUUAUUAUUUGGUAAUUAGUAUUUUGGCUAAAUGAAUACCUAUUUUAUAGUGACCUGUGAUAUUAUUUUGUGAUACGAAAUGUUUUAAACCUUUGUUAUUUGACCAACUUUCCAAAAUCAAAAUUUCAAGUUCUAAAUUCAGUCUUUUGACUUGAAACUAACUUUUUAGAUAGUAGGGUUCCCUGAAGCCCAAGAGGGACAUAUUAUUUUCAUUUGAUAUGUUAAAAUUUUACAGGAAGCUUUGUCAAAUAUGAAAUGGAGUUUGGCUUUCUUUGGGUUAUAUUUAUAUAAAUGUGUUCCAAAAUUGUAUGAGAUUCCUAAAAUCCUGAUUUAUCUUAGUAUAUUAUCAGGAAUAAUUAUGAUUAUUAUGUUAAAUUGUCACAGAAAUAACCAAAUUUCCUUGUCAAUUUUGUCUUUAACUAUGGGUGUCUUAAGACUUUUGUCAUCUACAAUUAUUGUUUCAUUUUGAUUCUUCUCAAAAAGCAGCUUACAAUCAGCUAUAGUCCAAAAUUUGCUUUUGCAAAUUGCUGAUUAUUUUUGUUUUUGUUUUUAGAGUCAACGAGGCUUUUUUUUUCCUUUUGAGCUAAGUAUAGCCUUCGACUAUUGUGUGGAGUAUAUCUUGUGAUCAAAAUUUGAAGCAUAUUUCUGUUUCUACCUGAUUUCUGCAAAAUUUGGAAACUGUGCAUAUUCCUAAUUUAUAGCAAUAGUUAUUUGCAUAAGUUUAAUAAAAUUCUGUUUUCUUUUAUAACUGGACACAAUUGGAGGCACUGGUUAUUUUACCAAGGCUUUGACUGGAAUAAUGUAUUUUCAGAUAUGAGCAGAAUGCUUUGAGGAAUUGAUGUUGACUUACAGAGCCUAUGAAAGUCCCUUAAAAAUACUGCCCUUGUACCUGGUCUACACAGUUCCUUUGCAGGGUUCCUGGCCUGUGGUAAGUAAAGAAUGUCACUUUCUGACAGGCCCAGAAACCACAAGUUAUUCUGGGACCUCAAGAAGAGAGGAAUUCACCCAAUUCAUACAAGUAUCUUCAGGCACAGAUAAAUCCUUGGCCGGGCUUGAGAGGUCUUUAAUUUCAAAUCUGAGAUUCCUUAUGAAAAGUUCCAGCAAAGCCCAAUUUAAAAGAACCUAUGAGAACAAUAAUUCUUGCUGUAUUUUAUGCAAAUAAUCAGGCCACCUAGAAUAAGACUAACAAUUUUGCAAAUAAAUUGGGUCUACUAUGAUUUGUCUUUGGUAGAAAUGGGGGUUGGGAAAAAGAAAAAUUGUGUUUCAAAAAAAAAAACACUAGAGUACACCUGUUAUUAAAUUAACCUUUGAUUCUUGAUGGCACUCUGGUCACCCAUCAUAUGGAGCUGCAGCUGUGCUGCUUUCAGUUAUUAAAGCUACAAGUUACCCAUGGAAUUUACAGAUGGAUUAAGCUCCUGGGGAGCUGGCUCACUGGAUGCAUAAGGAAAUGUGAACUAACGAGGAAAAAAAAUUAAAUUCCUUAGUUAUUGUUAUCUAUAAUAGUUCCAAAGAAAGUAAGAGAGUGCGGAGUUCGGGCUUCAAACUAAACCAAGCUCAGAUGUGAGACUGUUUGGAUUCAGACCACUAGCCUCAAAGCUACCCACAAAAGGGAAAAUUAUGCCCGGGCACCAAAAAGCACCUCUGAGACCCGCAGUUUCCAAAAAGGUAGUCAAUGUUGGAGAAAGGCAAAAUCAAGUAAUUAUUGAAACCGGAGGGUAUAAUGUAAAGGGAUAAGUUCUGUUUUGUAGAUUGGUACCAUCAGCUUCCUCAGAAACCUUUACUAAAAUGGGUAGUGAGAAUAACUAACUGAAGAGCAAUGUCUUUGGUUUUAAAUGCUGCAAAGUAGAAGAACCUGUUUUGGUUGACUCAGAACCCACCGCUCGCUAGUGAACAAUCACAGAUAAAUAUAUAUAUUACAGGCACACAGGAGGUUAUUCCCAAGACAAUAGCCAGCCUGGUUGACUAGAUAAAAGCCACUAAUAUCUGUUUACUUACUGAAUACUUAAAGCCAGUAAGAUCUGUUUACCCUGAGAAGGGAAACUGCUCAACUCCACUUAUCAAUGUCAAGUGGAGCACCUCAGAUGAAGCAGAUGAUAUGUUUCCUAUGCAAACCAGUGGGGGCUGGCUUUAUAAUGGUAAGGGUAUUAACUUUACCCUUUGGAAAUAUAUUAACUACUUUCUCUGAGUUUACUUCCAAUAGGCUCCAGUUCCCUACGGAUGUGCCUCCUCACUCUUUGAAACUGAAACCAGAGAACCAAGUCAUGCGGAGGACCAGCUGCAACCACAAUGGAUCGGCCCUUCUGAGGAAAUCUACUCUCAGGCAAGAAACUAAAACUCACCGGAUCAUUUCAUCUGAACAACAAUAUUCCAGACCACUCAUCAAUCAUGAUUGCUUCCUUACCUCCAUGAAUUCCUGCUUUCCCACCUCCCUGCUUCCCUGCUAUAUACACCUCCCGAUUUUAGUCGGUCAAGGAGAUGGCUUUGAGACCUUAUCUCCCAUUCUCCUUGGCUGCAGCACCUGAUUAAAGCCCGCUUCCCUGUCAGUACUCAUUGCCUCAGUGAUUGGGAUUCCGUCCGUGCAGCAAGCAACAGGACCUAGACUGAACCCCUGGCAUUUUGGUAACAUCGAGACAGAGCCUCUAUUAAAUGGAGCUCCUGAGUAACUAGGAUGGACACAGUGCCCCUGAUGAACCACAAUGAACAUGAAGCAUGAGUUACAAAUAAGCAGCAUUGUUUCAAGUCACCAAGAUGUUCAUGUAGCUUAUUAUUGUAGCAUAAGCUAAUCUAUGUUUACUGAUACAACAUCUCAAUUUGUUUCUUUCUCUGAAGCGCAAGUUCUACUUCUCCUGCUGCCGUCAACAUUUCUAUAUGAUUUUACUUAUAGAAGUACAAGCUCAACAUAUCUAUUUCUAUAUUCAUUAUUUUUCCUCCCUAACCCAGAAGCAAAAGUCUCUUCCUGAUUUUUUUUAUUUUGGUCAAUGGUACGAACACUCUUCUAAAAACCUAAACUUCAUUCAAUCACUUACAGUCAUGUGCUGCAUAAUGAUGUUUUGGUCAUGACAGACCACAAAUACGAUGGUGGUCCCAUAAAAUUAUAAUGGAGCAUAUGCAGAAGCCUGAUAUGUGGCAUUUGAUACUGGCAUUGCAGAUUAAGUAGGGGAAAUUAUUGAUAUUCAGCAAUGCUGCUGGGAAAUUUGUUUUUCAUAUAUAUAUAUAUACAUAUAUAUAUACACACAUAUACAUAUAUAUAUAUACACACACACACACACAUAUGAUCUAGGUUUCUGUAAGUACACUCUGUGAUGUGUGCAGUACUGCAAAAUCGCCUAAUGAUGCAUUUCUCAGAAUGUAUCUCCAUUGUUAAGUGAUGCAUGACUAUUUUACAUUUUGUCCCCACUUUAUUUGCAACUCUGCCUUAUGGUUCCCACAGGUGCCUCCUUGAUUCUUGCUUUGGUCCCUCAAUUCUUGCACUAUUAUACGUCUUGAGUAAUUUUGCUGCUUUUAUUCUCUUCCCUUUUAUGAUCAAUUAUCCUUCCUUUGUCAUUAGCUAUUCAUGAAUGUGAUAAAAGUAAAUAUCUAGAUUAUAUUAUGCCUUUGCUCAAAACUCCGAUGUGUCCCCAUCAUCUACUGAAUAAACUCUCAAUCCUUGAUCUGGCA